CUGAUAUGGUUUUAGUCUGAUUUAGUAAAAUAAAGCACUUGAAGCUUUCAUUAAUCUUGAUCCAUCAGAUUUUCUUGUUAAAUUUGUUAAAGCACAUUUGAAUUUGUCAUCAGUUGUUCAAGAUCGAGUGUUCUGUUGUUAAAUUCAAACAUGCAACGAUAUCAU
RNAcentral lists this microRNA precursor (165 nucleotides) under Asparagus officinalis (garden asparagus). RNAcentral describes it as "miR12162 stem-loop (aof-MIR12162)". Lineage: Eukaryota; Viridiplantae; Streptophyta; Magnoliopsida; Asparagales; Asparagaceae. The record is from miRBase by way of RNAcentral.